Drosophila pseudoobscura is the source of this 1877-nucleotide long non-coding RNA. RefSeq lists it as uncharacterized. The transcript is spliced from 3 exons. NCBI's taxonomy places the organism in Eukaryota, Metazoa, Arthropoda, Insecta, Diptera, Drosophilidae. The record is from RefSeq and is a predicted model, not a curated record.
CUUACACAGGGCCCACGAUAUAACCAGGGGCGAAGAAGGAAGAUUAACUAAAUGCCGGCUAAUUUUCUAAAUUUCGCAAUGUAAUGUGGUUGGGUCCUGUUUGGGCACAGGGAGGAAUGGAAUUGAAAGUGGCAGGAAAAGAGCUCAAGGCUUCCGAGGAUGUGUCUGUUCUUUUUAUUGCUUUAGGCCGUCUCCCUUUCCCUGAUUCCCUCUUACUGUUUCUGGCUCAAAUUCUUGCAGAGCGCAUUAAAAAUAAUUAUGCUUAUGCUGCUGGAAAAUGUGCUGACUUACAUACAAGUAUUCAUAUGACCAAAUGGGUUACCCACCCAUAAAGGAGUACGUUGUAUGUUACAUAUACCCACCCAUAUACAUACAUAUGAGGGCAGUCAAAUGACCACACGAGAGGACGAAAGCGGGAGGAACCGAGCUGCAAAAAUAUUUGUACAACAUUCUUAAGCUCAACCGAAACGAAAAGUUAUGAAAAAUGUUAUGAAAAUUUAUCUUUGGCUGUCCUCUCCCACACUACUCAGCGGACACUGGACUGGUCCUGACUGUACUGGACUGGGAACUGGGAACGAACAGCUUCGCUUUCGCCUUGGAAGCUCCUUGGCCUGGGCUAGGGUAUCUAGCUGGCCUGCGGUUUAUGUGGCCACAUUUUAAUUGAAAUAACUUUGAUAAUGUUGCCAGCAGCUGAGAAAACAGCAAAAAUAAAUGCAAUGAAAAUAGCCAACAAAUUUAAAAUGGUUUUCCGUCGAAAUUAACUUUUCGUCAAUGCACACGCAAUCGAAUGACGUAACAGAGCUAAAAAUUCUGUACUACUGUGUGGGCAGAAACUGACAGAAUAUGAAUCUGCAACAGAAUCUGAUCGAGAUAUGGGUCGUUCUAUGUCCGUAUGGUGUCCAUACAGGGUUCGAUAGGACCUCAAUGAUUUGUCCCACUACCAAAUAUUUAUUGUGUAUGUGAAAAAAUAUAUAUUAAUAUUCUCCAGUUGAAACUGAGCCCAGCCUAGAGCAGUCUCUUGGUUGACGAACUCCAAAAGAUCGAAGCAACCCAUGUGGUUUUUAGCGUUGGUCCAGCACAGAUAUUGCAUGUGACGCUGCGUCGCUGAUACCGACGUUCGUACUUUCGCCCAUGAUCCUAGCGAUCAAAUCUUCAGUCAGGUGCCAGUCAGGAAUCCAUCAGCUGUGUGGUGAUGUCGACGUGGCCUUUGGGAUUGUUUAGCGAUAAUCGUAACCAGAUGAAAAUGUUCCCGGAGUCCACGUUCAACUGCUGCAUGUAGCUGAGGCUCACAAAAACGGUGCCGGCCCGGAAGCAAGUUAGCUUUCAUCGCCGGACCAGCCUCGUCGGACGUACCAGCUCACAGACCAGGGGGUUGCCCAUCGCCAGUUCAAUCUGAUCUUGUUCCACAACCUCCAUUUUUUCCACGUCUUCGACGAGCUCUAUGGCCUCAGUAUCCCCAUGCGGAGUGUUCUUAAUAUUAAAAAUAUCUUGACCAGACAUUUUUCGAAUAUUGGUCGCGUUCACCAGCACAACUUAUCCAUUACUGGAUUGCAUACGAUACUGGCGACUAUUAGUGAUUUUCAUAUAUCCAUCAUAUCGAUAUAUGUCCUCCUUUGGAUGUGAAUUUAUGGAGAUAAAUCAUGUUUCACAAGGUAGUGUAGCAUCUGUAGUGCAGUUUUGGCGCCUCCUAGAAUGUGGCAAAGCAAACUGACGCAAAUCUUAGUGCGUAAUAUUAUUAAAAAUUCCAAGACGCAUCAUUUUUUUUCUCAACCUUUUUUUCACUAUGUUUCUGCAGUGUGGGCUUAGAACAUGCUAUCUGUGUGCUAGUCGUACUAAUCGUAUGUACUUAAAUUUAAUUAUUUUGGUCUAAAAGUACA